This 397-nucleotide ribosomal RNA is filed under the name uncultured bacterium. RNAcentral's name for it is "partial 16S ribosomal RNA". It matches the Rfam family "Bacterial small subunit ribosomal RNA", at positions 360 to 775 of the family's 1533-position model. The record is from RNAcentral.
AAUAUGUGACAUUGGAGGAAACUCUGAUGCAGCGACGCCGCGUGAACGAUUAAGGCCUUCGGGUCGUAAAGUUCUGUCCUGGGGGACGAUUAUGACGGUACCCCAGGAGGAAGCCCCGGCUAACUACGUGCCAUCAGCCGCGGUAAUACGUAGGGGGCGAGAUUUGUCCGGAAUCUUUUGGCGUCAAGGGUUCAUAGGCGGUUUUUUAAGUCAGAUGUGAAAGGUCACGGCUCAACCUUGGUAAGCAUUUGAAACUGAAAGACUGGAGUUAAGGAGAGGACAGUGGAAUUCCUAGUGUAGCGGUGAAAUGCGUAGAUAUUAGGAGGAAUACCAGUGGCGAAGGCGACUUUCUGGACUUAUACUGACGCUGAGGAACGAAAGCGUGGGGAGCAAACAG